AGUGAACGCUGGCGGUAGGCCUAACACAUGCAAGUCGAACGGCAGCACAGUAAGAGCUUGCUCUUACGGGUGGCGAGUGGCGGACGGGUGAGGAAUACAUCGGAAUCUACUUUUUCGUGGGGGAUAACGUAGGGAAACUUACGCUAAUACCGCAUACGACCUACGGUUGAAAGCAGGGGAUCUUCGGACCUUGCGCGAUUGAAUGAGCCGAUGUCGGAUUAGCUAGUUGGCGGGGUAAAGGCCCACCAAGGCGACGAUCCGUAGCUGGUCUGAGAGGAUGAUCAGCCACACUGGAACUGAGACACGGUCCAGACUCCUACGGGAGGCAGCAGUGGGGAAUAUUGGACAAUGGGCGCAAGCCUGAUCCAGCCAUACCGCGUGGGUGAAGAAGGCCUUCGGGUUGUAAAGCCCUUUUGUUGGGAAAGAAAAGCAGCAGGUUAAUACCCCGCUGUUCUGACGGUACCCAAAGAAUAAGCACCGGCUAACUUCGU
This 491-nucleotide ribosomal RNA is filed under the name uncultured bacterium. RNAcentral's name for it is "partial 16S ribosomal RNA". It matches the Rfam family "Bacterial small subunit ribosomal RNA", at positions 29 to 506 of the family's 1533-position model. The record is from RNAcentral.